GGGUCAGUAGGUUGGUCGUGCCACCGGUACGUACUGGUCUCACUGAUUCCUCCUUCCUGAAGAACCGUAAUGCCAUUAAUUUGGUGUUGCGGGGAAACAGGACUGUUACUUUGAAAAAACUAGAGUGUUUAAAGCAAGCUAACGCUUGAAUACAUUAGCAUGGAAUAAUGAAAUAGGACGAUCGAUCCUAUUUUGUUGGCUUCUAGGAUUGACGUA
This 216-nucleotide ribosomal RNA is filed under the name Glomeromycotina sp. RNAcentral's name for it is "partial small subunit ribosomal RNA". The stretch from base 44 to 216 matches the Rfam family "Eukaryotic small subunit ribosomal RNA", at positions 690 to 864 of the family's 1831-position model. The record is from RNAcentral. Lineage: Eukaryota; Fungi; Glomeromycota.